AGAUGCUUUCGAGAAAAUUUAUAAAAUAAGUCAAAAAAUCAAAUGGGAUUCUUAGAUUCUUAACCCUUCGAUGCUUAAGUCAGUUCGAGUCUCGAGAAUAGGAGGUGAAAAAGAGUAGUAGGGCACAAGGAGAGAAUUUGGAUGGAACUAGAGAAGUUGGAUUAGGUAAAAAUUAGAGUCCUUAUUCAAGAACUUGCAAAGUUCAUACCAGUAUAGUCUCACUCUAAUUUUUUGGAGUUAGAACUUAUCAUUGGAGAAUUCCUGGGCCUCUAUU
RNAcentral lists this long non-coding RNA (274 nucleotides) under Elaeis guineensis (African oil palm). RNAcentral's name for it is "long non-coding RNA (EGUI_LNC018427)". The record is from RNAcentral. Lineage: Eukaryota; Viridiplantae; Streptophyta; Magnoliopsida; Arecales; Arecaceae.